Eubalaena glacialis (North Atlantic right whale) is the source of this 107-nucleotide small nuclear RNA. The record is from RefSeq and is a predicted model, not a curated record. Lineage: Eukaryota; Metazoa; Chordata; Mammalia; Artiodactyla; Balaenidae.
GUGCUCGCUUUGGCAGCACGUAUACUAAAAUUGGACCGAUACAGAGAAGAUUAGCACGGCCCCUGUGCAAGGAUGACAUGCAAAUUCGUGAAGCAGUCCAUAUUUAA